RNAcentral lists this ribosomal RNA (427 nucleotides) under uncultured bacterium. RNAcentral describes it as "bacterial SSU rRNA". It matches the Rfam family "Bacterial small subunit ribosomal RNA", at positions 355 to 774 of the family's 1533-position model. The record is from RNAcentral.
UGGGGAAUUUUGGACAAUGGGGGCAACCCUGAUCCAGCCAUGCCGCGUGAGUGAAGAAGGCCUUCGGGUUGUAAAGCUCUUUCAGCCGGGAAGAAAACGCAUGGGUUAAUACCUUGUGCGGAUGACGGUACCAUCAGAAGAAGCACCGGCUAACUACGUGCCAGCAGCCGCGGUAAUACGUAGGGUGCGAGCGUUAAUCGGAAUUACUGGGCGUAAAGCGUGCGCAGGCGGUUAUGUAAGACAGAUGUGAAAUCCCCGGGCUCAACCUGGGAACUGCGUUUGUGACUGCAUAACUAGAGUACGGCGGAGGGAGGUGGAAUUCCGCGUGUAGCAGUGAAAUGCGUAGAUAUGCGGAGGAACACCGAUGGCGAAGGCAGCCUCCUGGGCCAGUACUGACGCUCAUGCACGAAAGCGUGGGGAGCAAACA